UACGGAGGGGGCUAGCGUUGUUCGGAAUUACUGGGCGUAAAGCGCACGUAGGCGGCUUUGUAAGUUAGAGGUGAAAGCCCAGGGCUUAACCCUGGAAUUGCCUUUAAGACUGCAUCGCUAGAAUUGUGGAGAGGGAAGUGGAAUUUCAGGUGUAGCGGUGAAAUGCGUAGAUAUCUGAAGGAACAUCAGUGGCGAAAGCGACUUCCUGGACCAAUACUGACGCUCAUGUGCGAAAGCGUGGGGAGCAAACAGG
RNAcentral lists this ribosomal RNA (253 nucleotides) under uncultured bacterium. Its description in RNAcentral is "partial 16S ribosomal RNA". It matches the Rfam family "Bacterial small subunit ribosomal RNA", at positions 524 to 776 of the family's 1533-position model. The record is from RNAcentral.